UACGAAGGGGGCUAGCGUUGCUCGGAAUCACUGGGCUUAAAGGGCGCGUAGGCGGGCACGCAAGUCAGGGGUGAAAGCCCACGGCUCAACCGUGGAAGGGCCUUUGAUACUGCGUGCCUGGAGGGAGGUAGGGGCGUGCGGAACUUCCGGUGGAGCGGUGAAAUGCGUAGAUAUCGGAAGGAACACCGGUGGCGAAAGCGGCGCGCUGGACCUCUUCUGACGCUGAGGCGCGAAAGCCAGGGGAGCAAACGGG
Molecule: ribosomal RNA, 253 nt
Filed under: uncultured bacterium
Lineage: Bacteria
Description: partial 16S ribosomal RNA
Rfam family: Bacterial small subunit ribosomal RNA
Source: RNAcentral